RNAcentral lists this ribosomal RNA (419 nucleotides) under uncultured Bacteroidales bacterium. Its description in RNAcentral is "partial 16S ribosomal RNA". Lineage: Bacteria; Pseudomonadati; Bacteroidota; Bacteroidia; Bacteroidales. The record is from RNAcentral.
CACGGAGUUAGCCGAUGCUUUUUCUUCGGGUACUCUCACAGUCUCCACACGUGAAGACCAUUGGCUCCCCGACAAAAGAGGUUUACAAUCCAUAGGACCGUCUUCCCUCACGCGACUUGGCUGGUUCAGGCUCGCGCCCAUUGACCAAUAUUCCUCACUGCUGCCUCCCGUAGGAGUCUGGUCCGUGUCUCAGUACCAGUGUGGGGGACCUUCCUCUCAGAACCCCUACGCAUCGUCGCCUUGGUGGGCCGUUACCCCGCCAACCAGCUAAUGCGCCGCAUCGCCCAUCCGUCACCGGAAUUGCUUCCUUUCGACCCCGAAGGGGACUCGGUCCCCUGGGGUACUCGACGUCGGUAUUACGGUCCGGUAUUUCGUCCGGGUUAUUCCCCGUGUCGACGGGCAGGUUGCAUACGUGUUAC